Molecule: non-coding RNA, 73 nt
Organism: Camelus ferus (Wild Bactrian camel)
Lineage: Eukaryota; Metazoa; Chordata; Mammalia; Artiodactyla; Camelidae
Source: Rfam
GGAGGGUACAGCCCAGUGGUAGAGUGCGUAAUUAGCAUGCACAAGAUCCUGGGUUCAAUCCCCAGUCCCUCCA